UGAUCACACACGUGGUCAUUCUCUUCAGCACAGAUCUACCGAUUAGACGCAAGCAGCAUGAGCGGGCGCAACAUUGGUGCUGAUUGGCCAUCUGAUCCCCCGACUGAAGAGAGGCUCAUCAAUUACUAUGUCUUAGUUGCAUAGGCUCAGUUGUUUGUAAGGCCUCGAGGACAGAGUAAUGCGGAGGAGUCAUUCUCUAACUAUUACCUAUGGAGAAACAGAACCACAGGCAUUAGGUAAGCAGUUAAUGUCAGUAUAUGGUGUCUAUCUGAAUCAAAGCAUCCCUGAGUUCUUACAACUAGACUGCUGGUGGCAUGAUCCCUUCUAUGCUUUGUCCACUGGAGGCUGUCAGUGUCUCAAGUGGCCAUAAAAGGGGGGUACAGCAACCCCUUGCUAAAACCGUGGUCAGAGGUCCUUUCUCUGUGCCUGGAUCCUGUCACAAGACACAUUCCUAUAAAAUAGUUACAUACCAACUUCAGCAAAAUGUGACAUGACUUGUCUGAAUUAAAAUUGUAGUAAAGUUUUACCCACUUGUUUUUACAGAUACUAUUUAUGACAGCAUUAUCUCUGGGACAAUAAGUCUAAAAUACCUACAGAGAGCUGUGUGUUAGUCCCUUUCAUCUUAAUGGCAGUUGCUUGGCUGGCAUGUGCAGCCCGAGAGGGUCGUGUCUAGAAGGGAUCCCUCUCUUGUCAAAAAAAGCACAGGUGAAAACAUCUUAACAGAAUGUGCAUGCAUGAGAAAUUGACGAGAGAGCGAUCCCUUCUAGACACAACCGCCCGGGAGUUGCGUGACCUGGAUGCUGCCAUUUUUACUUUAUGGGCACUUCCAGAGACCAUUUAGGCCAAUCACUAUAAAAGACUGAUCACACUAUAUUAAAACUCCUGUUUCAUAUUAAAUAUGUAGUGUUGGUUAAAGUACUCUGGCCACUUUUGCAUGGCCAUCCAAUGGAGAAACAUGCUUUUUACCUGUAUGUGUACUUAUGAUGUCUACCAGCAGGGGCUAACCAGCCAAACCUUGAUCCCAGAGUAAAUGUGUUGCUGCAAUUAUCCAAUGUUAUAGCUUGAAAAAUGCUAAUUGUAUUGUCAUUGACUGAUGCAGUUUCGAUUAUAAAUAAUGCAUAAAGUUAUGUAUUGCUGGUUACCAAUCAAUAAAGAUACUUUGCCU
Myxocyprinus asiaticus (Chinese sucker) is the source of this 1165-nucleotide long non-coding RNA. RefSeq lists it as uncharacterized. The record is from RefSeq and is a predicted model, not a curated record. NCBI's taxonomy places the organism in Eukaryota, Metazoa, Chordata, Actinopteri, Cypriniformes, Catostomidae. The transcript is spliced from 4 exons.